GCGCAGCAGUCGAGAAUCUUCGGCAAUGGGGGAAACCCUGACCGAGCGACGCCGCGUGUGGGAUGAAGGCCCUUGGGUUGUAAACCACUGUCAGAGGGGAUGAAAUGCCGGAAAGUUAUCUCUCCGGUUUGACAUAGCCUCAGAGGAAGCACGGGCUAAGUUCGUGCCAGCAGCCGCGGUAAGACGAACUGUGCAAACGUUAUUCGGAAUCACUGGGCUUGAAGAGUGCGUAGGCGGUUUCGUAAGUAGGGUGUGAAAGCCCCCGGCUCAACCGGGGAAUUGCGUCCUAAACUGCGAGGCUGGAGUGAGGUAGGGGUGUGUGGAACUUCCAGUGGAGCGGUGAAAUGUGUUGAUAUUGGAAGGAACGCCGGUGGCGAAAGCGACACACUGGACCUUGUCUGACGCUGAGGCACGAAAGCCAGGGGAGCAAACGGGAUUAGAUACCCGCGUAGU
This 453-nucleotide ribosomal RNA is filed under the name uncultured organism. Its description in RNAcentral is "bacterial SSU rRNA". It matches the Rfam family "Bacterial small subunit ribosomal RNA", at positions 346 to 794 of the family's 1533-position model. The record is from RNAcentral.